GUCGCUGCAAAAUCAGCGACCGGGCGUAGGAACCCGAUUGAAUCAAGGCGCAACAGCGCCCCCAUUACGAUUGCAGGCGCUUUUUUU
Pseudomonas syringae pv. pisi str. 1704B is the source of this 87-nucleotide non-coding RNA. The record is from Rfam. NCBI's taxonomy places the organism in Bacteria, Pseudomonadati, Pseudomonadota, Gammaproteobacteria, Pseudomonadales, Pseudomonadaceae.